RNAcentral lists this ribosomal RNA (276 nucleotides) under uncultured archaeon. RNAcentral's name for it is "partial 16S ribosomal RNA". It matches the Rfam family "Archaeal small subunit ribosomal RNA", at positions 1078 to 1354 of the family's 1478-position model. The record is from RNAcentral.
UUCGAUUGGUUGGGUACAUUAGGAGGACUGCCAGUGUUAAAUUGGAGGAAGGAACGGGCAACGGUAGGUCAGUAUGCCCCGAAUGAGCUGGGCAACACGCGGGCUACAAUGGCUAAGACAAUGGGUCGCUAUCUCGACAGAGAACGCUAAUCUCGAAACUUAGUCGUAGUUCGGAUUGAGGGCUGAAACUCGCCCUCAUGAAGCUGGAUUCGGUAGUAGCCGCCUUUCAGUAGAAGGCGACGAAUACGUCCCUGCUCCUUGCACACACCGCCCGUC